UCUGUGGUGCAGUGGUAGCAAGCAGCUCUGGUAUGGUCAGGAACGCGAGUUCGAAUCCCGCCGGGUGAG
Non-coding RNA from Parelaphostrongylus tenuis, 69 nucleotides. The record is from the annotation of a GenBank genome assembly. NCBI's taxonomy places the organism in Eukaryota, Metazoa, Nematoda, Chromadorea, Rhabditida, Metastrongylidae.